CAGUUCUGUGUCCUUCACACUCUUUUUCACAGGAACUGAGGAAAGAUGCCACGUCUAUGAUGAGAUACAGGGUGAAGCAGAGUUUCAGGUUACAAACGGUGUAGAACGAGUCCCUGUACCUACAGAUGCAUACUGCAUGGUAGAAUGUCCAGGUGGAUCAAACCCAAAUGAUGCCACAUAUUACACCAUCCCCGACCUUCAACCGAUGAAAAAGGCGACCGGUAAAGACUUU
This 232-nucleotide long non-coding RNA is filed under the name Sparus aurata (gilthead seabream). RNAcentral's name for it is "lncRNA (ENSSAUG00010001061.1)". The record is from RNAcentral. Lineage: Eukaryota; Metazoa; Chordata; Actinopteri; Spariformes; Sparidae.